UGAAACCAUUUACGCCCUUCGGACUUUACUUUCUUGUCAAACUAUUGACGAUUUUUUUUCUCACAAUAUAUUGCCAAGAUCUAACUUGAAUGCAGAACCUACGUGUACAACCCCUGCUUCUAAAUCCCCUAGUUCUACUACUGAGCUCAAUGCAGGGGGUACUACACAUACUGAUUCUCCCACACUUCCGCAAGUUCCCUCUUAUGCUUCAGAUUUCUCUACCAAAGCUCCAUCUACUACAAAAUCUGGCAGAAAUAUUCAUAAACCUCACCUUAAAGAUUAUAUUUGUCAAUACAAGGCCAUGAAUGGCAGCAAGCAAUGCAACAUGAGUUGAACGCCUUAGAUGCUAACAAUACAUGGAAUAUAGUCUCCCUCCCCAAAGGUCAACACAAAAUUGGUUGCAAAUGGGUAUACAAAAUCAAAUAUAACUUCAAGGGAGAGAUUGACCGAUACAAAGCUCGCCUUGUCGCCAAAGGAUAUACACAACAAUAAGGUAUUGACUACUCUGAAACUUUUGCACAUGUUGCUAAAUUCACUACUCUUAAAUGUUAUUAGCAAUAGCUGCCAUAAAAAAAUUGUCAUUACACCAAAUUGAUAUGGAUAAUGUUUUUCUCCAUGGUGAUUUAAAUGAGCAAGUGCUUAUGACUAUCCCCAAAGGAAUCUUAUUAAGGGGGAGAUUCCUCCUACUCCGGUAUGCAAAUUAAACAAAAGCAUUUAUGGUCAAAAACAAUCCUCUCGUCAAUGGUAUGAGAAACUAAGUUCAACAUUACUUCAACUCGGAUUUCAGCAAUCUCCAUCCGACCAUUCACUCUUCAUUCGCUAAAAAUCAAGUGUUUUCCUUGUCUUACUCAUAUAUGUGGAUGAUGUCAUACUUGCUAGUAAUAAUGAUGAGGAUGUCUCUCUUUUUAAAUCCCAAUUGCAUAAAUAUUUCACAUUCAAAGAUUUAGGUCCACUUCGUUUCUUUCUUGGUCUUGAAAUAGGGAGAUCCACUAAUGGCAUAUCUAUUUCCCAAAGACCUUUUUAUUUGCAACUACUUGAAGACGCAGGUUAUCUAGGAGUCAAACCUGCCUGUACUCCAUUGGAACCUAAUAUCAAGUUAUCUAAAGAUAUCGGAGAAGAACUCAAAGAUCCUACAACUUAUAAAAGCAUGACUGGCAUAUGCAGAAACAAACUUCACUCCAGCUGAUCUUUCCUUGAAAAUUUAUGCUGACACAGAUUGGUGUAGCUGUGUUGAUACAAGAAGAUCUGUUUCAGGGUUCUGUAUAUUCCUUGGACAGUCCCUCUUAUCAUGGAAGUCCAAAAAGCAAUCUACGGUCUCUCGCUCAACUGUCGAAUUCAAAUACCGAGCAAUGGCAAAUGCAACUUAUGAAAUAGUUUGGCUCCUCGCUCUGCUUCGUGACUUCGGCAUCCCAC
Humulus lupulus (European hop) is the source of this 1413-nucleotide long non-coding RNA. RefSeq lists it as uncharacterized. Lineage: Eukaryota; Viridiplantae; Streptophyta; Magnoliopsida; Rosales; Cannabaceae. The record is from RefSeq and is a predicted model, not a curated record. The transcript has 3 exons.